GACGGAGGAUGCAAGCGUUAUCCGGAAUUAUUGGGCGUAAAGCGUCCGCAGGUGGUCUAUCAAGUCUGUUUUCAAAGAGCGGGGCUUAACUCCGUAAAGGGGAUGGAAACUGAUGGACUAGAGAUUGGUAGGGGCAGAGGGAAUUCCCAGUGUAGCGGUGAAAUGCGUAGAUAUUGGGAAGAACACCAGUGGCGAAAGCGCUCUGCUGGGCCAAGACUGACACUGAGGGACGAAAGCCAGGGGAGCGAAAGGG
This 253-nucleotide ribosomal RNA is filed under the name uncultured prokaryote. Its description in RNAcentral is "partial 16S ribosomal RNA". It matches the Rfam family "Bacterial small subunit ribosomal RNA", at positions 524 to 776 of the family's 1533-position model. The record is from RNAcentral.